CACUUCUAAGGAAGGCAGCAGGCGCGCAAAUUACCCAAUCCUGACUCAGGGAGGUAGUGACAAGAAAUAACAAUAAACCGGCUUAUGCCGGUUUAAUUGGAAUGAGUACAAUUUAAACAUCUUAACGAGGAACAAUUGGAGGGCAAGUCUGGUGCCAGCAGCCGCGGUAAUUCCAGCUCCAAUAGCGUAUACUAAAGUUGUUGCAGUUAAAAAGCUCGUAGUUGGAUUUCUGUGGGGACGGAGCGGCCGGCCGCAACACGCGGUUCGAGCUAGCGCUUUCCCUACAUCCUGCCGCGAACCGUGCUACCAUUAAUUUGGUGGCGCCGGGGAUCGGCUCGAUUACUUUGAGAAAAAUAGAGUGUUCAAAGCAGGCCACAUGCCUUGAAUAAGUUAGCAUGGAAUAAUAACUAAGGACUUCGGUUCUAUUUUGUUGGUGUUCGGGACUGAAGUAAUGAUUGAUAGGGACAGUUGGGGCGGUCUGUAUUCCAAAGCGAGAGGUGAAAUUCUUAGACCUUCGGAAGACAAACAGCUGCGAAAGCGUUCCGCAAGGAUGUUCCCUUUGAUCAAGAACGAAAGUUGGGGGAUCGAAGACGAUCAGAUACCGUCGUAGUCUCAACUAUAAACUAUACCAGCUAGGGAUCGGCCAACGUUAUUUUAUACCGACUUGGUCGGCACCUUAUGAGAAAUCAAAGCAUCUGGGUUCCGGGGGGAGUAUGGUCGCAAGGCUGAAACUUAAAGGAAUUGGCGGAAGGGCACCACCAGCCGUGGAGCCUGUGGCUUAAUUUGACUCAACACGGGAAAACUUACCAGGUCCAGACAUAGUAAGGAUUGACAGAUUGAUAGCUCUUUCUUGAUUCUGUGGGUGGUGGUGCAUGGCCGUUCUUAGUUGGUGGAGUGAUUUGUCUGGUUAAUUCCGUUAACGAACGAGACCCCAGCCUGCUAAAUAGCGCGAGUGAGCUUUGCUCGCUGCGAGCUUCUUAGAGGGACUAUGAUGCGCGAUAGCACAUGGAAGUUUGGGGCAAUAACAGGUCUGUGAUGCCCUUAGAUGUUCUGGGCCGCACACGGGCUACACUGGCGCCUGCAACGGGCAUAUCAGCUGGUCCGAGAGGAUCUUGGCUAAUCUUUUGAACCGGCGCCGUGCUUGGGAUUGACCUUUGCAAUUGUUGGUCAUGCAACGAGGAAUGCCUUGUAAACGCGAGUCAUCAGCUCGCAUUGAAUACGUCCCUGCCCUUUGUACACACCGCCCGUCGCUCCUACCGAUGAAUGUUCCGAUGAAAUUUUCGGAGAGCACCUGUGAACUUGGCUCUGCCUUGCGAACGGGAGGCUCAAAGUCACUUAAAUCUGAACAUUUCGA
This 1354-nucleotide ribosomal RNA is filed under the name uncultured marine eukaryote. Its description in RNAcentral is "SSU rRNA". It matches the Rfam family "Eukaryotic small subunit ribosomal RNA", at positions 411 to 1777 of the family's 1831-position model. The record is from RNAcentral.